UUUCCAGUCCACCUUGUUUAGGGCUUCAGAAAUUUUUGCCUGUCAGGGAACUACCAUGGUCAAUGAGUGGUCAUUGAAGAUAAGAAAGGAAAUGAGAGUUGUUGACAGGCAAAUAAGGGAUAUCCAAAGAGAAGAAGAAAAAGUGAAACGAUCAGUGAAAGAUGCUGCCAAGAAGGGCCAGAAGGAUGUCUGUGUAGUUCUGGCCAAGGAGAUGAUCAGGUCAAGGAAGGCUGUGAGCAAGCUGUAUGCAUCCAAAGCGCACAUGAACUCAGUGCUCAUGGGGAUGAAGAACCAGCUCGCGGUCUUGCGAGUGGCUGGUUCCCUGCAAAAGAGCACAGAAGUGAUGAAGGCCAUGCAAAGUCUUGUGAAGAUUCCAGAGAUUCAGGCCACCAUGAGGGAGUUGUCCAAAGAAAUGAUGAAGGCUGGGAUCAUAGAGGAGAUGUUAGAGGACACUUUUGAAAGCAUGGACGAUCAGGAAGAAAUGGAGGAAGAAGCAGAAAUGGAAAUUGACAGAAUUCUGUUUGAAAUUACAGCAGGGGCCUUGGGCAAAGCACCCA
This 557-nucleotide small RNA is filed under the name Pongo abelii (Sumatran orangutan). Its description in RNAcentral is "processed transcript". The record is from RNAcentral. Lineage: Eukaryota; Metazoa; Chordata; Mammalia; Primates; Hominidae.